CCGGAAGACGCGUGACAGCUGCAAACAGCUCUUCCUUCCUGAGACCGUAUCAACCUUACUGAGCCGCCGGGAACUAAUGUGCAUAAAGGGGCUGAAAAAUCUUUCUAUACAGCAGUUCACACUGUCCAUAUAUGCCAGUGAUCACGCGUGAUGUGAACAUGUGAAGAAACAGAGACUCAGCCGUCAUCCGAAUGUAAGAUCUGCAAUAGAUGCCACAAGUAUCACCUUUGCCAGGCUUCACCCACAGAUGGACGCAGUAGUGUAAAAUAUAUAUUGCCCAAUCAGUUUUUUGACUUUAUAGUCGGUUACAUUAUAUAAUUACGGUACCUACAAAUAAAAUGUUAAGGUUGUGCACUAA
Molecule: long non-coding RNA, 358 nt
Organism: Bufo gargarizans (Asiatic toad)
Lineage: Eukaryota; Metazoa; Chordata; Amphibia; Anura; Bufonidae
Exons: 2
Source: RefSeq, a predicted model, not a curated record